This 200-nucleotide long non-coding RNA is filed under the name Prunus persica (peach). RNAcentral's name for it is "long non-coding RNA (PPER_LNC005314)". The record is from RNAcentral. Lineage: Eukaryota; Viridiplantae; Streptophyta; Magnoliopsida; Rosales; Rosaceae.
UAGUUGUUGCCAUUGGAUUUCACUCGGAUCCCACCAAAUGACUCCUCCCAUCAUAUUGUGAUGUUCCCCAAGUUUUAGACUCAAUCCGAUAUCGAUUGGUUCAUCAAAUCGGACAAUUCCAGAUUGUACGAAGUUCAUUAUGAAAUGGAGUGAGUGGUGUAUUGUGCUGCUCAAGAGAUUGGAUUUCACACAAAACCCAC